GGUGCAAACACAAAAUUCCAUUGAAUUUGAACAAAAUUUUAAAUACAUGAACAUUUUUUUUAAUUUUUGCGAAGAAUCAUAGAUGCAACAAUAACACAAAACAAAGAUUUGAUGUCUUGUUAAAUGAUUGAAAUAUAUAAAAAGAAGAUGUGGUAUGAUUGCCAAUGAGACAACUCUCUACAAGAGACCAAAAUGACACAGAAAUUAACAACUAUAGGUCACUGUACGGCCUUCAAAAGCAAAGCCCAUACCGCAUAGUCUGC
This 263-nucleotide long non-coding RNA is filed under the name Mytilus galloprovincialis (Mediterranean mussel). Lineage: Eukaryota; Metazoa; Mollusca; Bivalvia; Mytilida; Mytilidae. The record is from RNAcentral.